CCGGAGUGCCGCGGAAGGGCGGGUCGGGGGAAUCACCGAAAGGUAUUCCGCCGCCGUCUUUUCGAGGAAAGUCCGGGCUCCGCAGGGCAUGAUGCCGGGUAACGCCCGGGCGGGAAUUUUUUUCCGACAGAAAGCGCAGCAGAAAACAAACCGCCGUCAAAGGGGUUUCCCCUAACCGGGGAAGAAUCUUUGGCGGUAAGGGUGAAAUGGCGGGGUAAGAGCCCACCGCGGUUCCGGUAACGGGACCGGCAAAGAUACCGGUCCGGUUUUGCCGGAUCGGUAUCAGGCAAGCCUCAUCAGGAGCAAAGUCAAGCAGCGGUUUAACGGCCCGUUAAAGACCGCGGGUAGACUGCAUGGAGGUUGUUUGUAAAAACAACCCCAGACAGAUGGCAUUCCGCGUUCCCGCCGCCCCGGGGCGGCGGGAACGUGACAGAACCCGGCUUAUGGUUCA
Molecule: RNase P RNA, 451 nt
Filed under: Spirochaetaceae bacterium
Lineage: Bacteria; Pseudomonadati; Spirochaetota; Spirochaetia; Spirochaetales; Spirochaetaceae
Description: RNase P RNA component class A
Rfam family: Bacterial RNase P class A
About the family: Ribonuclease P (RNase P) is a ubiquitous endoribonuclease, found in archaea, bacteria and eukarya as well as chloroplasts and mitochondria. Its best characterised activity is the generation of mature 5'-ends of tRNAs by cleaving the 5'-leader elements of precursor-tRNAs.
Source: RNAcentral